GACGAACGCUGGCGGCGUGCCUAAUACAUGCAAGUCGAACGGUAAGGCCUUGCAUUUGUGGGGUGCUCGAGUGGCGAAAGGGUGUGUAUCACGCGAGUAGCAUGCCCUUUACUUCGGGAUAAAUUCAGGAAACUGGGGCUCAUACAGGAUAUGAGCACUUUCUGCAUGGUGGGUAUGGUAAAGUUAUGGAGUUUGGGGAUGGACACGCGGUUUAGCAGCUUGUUGGUGGGGUAGUGGCUUACAAAGGCGUUGAGGGGUAGCCGGCUUGAGAGGGUGACCGGCCACAUUGGGACUGAGAUACGGCCCAGACUGAUUCGGGGGGCAGCAGUGGGGGAUUUUGCACGAUGGGCGGAGGCCGGAAGGAGCAACGCCGCGUGGGAGAUGACGGCCUUCAGGUUGUAACCCGCUUGCGCCUGUAACGAAGCGUAAGUGACGGUAAUGAGUAAGGAAGCACCGGCUAACUACGUG
Molecule: ribosomal RNA, 468 nt
Filed under: uncultured bacterium
Lineage: Bacteria
Description: partial 16S ribosomal RNA
Rfam family: Bacterial small subunit ribosomal RNA
Source: RNAcentral